AUGAUGAUAAUAAACUUGUUGUCGUGUGGAACUGCAGUAAAGAGAACAGGAACAGUUUCAGACUCCUGAGGCGGUCGGCCAUCUUUCCCUCUCAGAGGUAAAUCCUGCAGGUGUGCCGACAGGUGAGCCGGUUUUUAUUGGUGCACAGUUGGUCGUAAGCAGACGUUGAAAUCUGAGCGCGUGCAGAGAGGACAGUAGGACUGGUCACAUGACAGAAGUCCUCAGAGGCUCAGGUGGAUUUACAGCCGCUCACCUGGACGUGGCGUCCAUUAAAACGCUGAACGCUCUCGGAGCUGCAGCAGGAUUUAUGAAAGGAAACGGCUGCGCUGAGCUGUUUCUGUUUUAUUGUAUUUUCCAGAGGAAAGUGUCACGUUCCUGCGCUGGCUGGGAAAAACUGGACACAGGAAGCCGAUGACAACAUCUGGAUGUGAUUUCAGAGAGACGGCAGGAAAAUGAAAAGUGAAGCAGCGACAGAAACAACCGCAGCUGGAUGUUUGAGUGUGAGACACAAACUAAAAUAAAUCUGAACAGCAGGGUCACGACCCCCCACAAACCCUGAUAAAGUACUUCCCUGCAGCUCGGAGGCUCCUCACAAAACCAGACUCUGAAACUCUUUAGUUCUGCUGCUUUCAUCGGGACCAAAACAGUCAGAACACAGAGUAAAACCAGGAUGAAGAAAACGUAUCCACAGGGACGACCUUUGACCUCCAUCUUCCUUGAACCUACGCUGGUAUGAUGUCAUGGGUUCGAUCUGAUCAGAUCAUGUCUGUGAUCAGAAGACGCAGAAAAACCUGUCCACCUGUCCUUCCGCUGUCCUCACAUGACCCGCCUCUAAACUUAGACUAAAGGAGGUCUGUCGCUGCCUGAUCCGUCACGGGAACACGGUUCGUACUGCACAUGUGCGAAAUGUACGUCACUUCCUCUGCGAGUCGUCUCUGCGAACACUCAGCAGUUCUUCGACCCUCGUGGUUUUCAGCUUCGACACGUGUUCGACCGCUUCAGCGUCAGCGAGCUCACUUCAGUUUAUAACAGUUCUUCCUCCGACUGAAGCAGAGCGCCAGAGAGUCCAGAGAAUGGCGCCCAGUUUCCCGAUUAAAGGUUCUCCAGCUAAAACGUAAAAUCGUAACGUAGUUCUAAAAGGUUUAAAUGAAUAUUUCAGAGUUGAAAUUGAAACUCUGAAUAAAAACGCUGAAGUUCAUCGUCCAUAAUGUGUCGUCGUCUUGUUAAUUAAUUUAAUUAUAAAAUAAAUGAAAUAAACCCCGCCUCCACACUUUGAAAAGUCAGAGAACCAUCAUUUUGACCAGGUGGUGGCGCUCUCUGUGGUCUCACCGUUCGGGCGAAUGAAGCUCGCCGGUCACAUCACCAGAUUGUUUCUGAAUCGAUCGUAAAAUAUAUUGAAAUGCCAAGAGAGGAAGUGACGAACGUUUCGCACAUGCUCAGUACACAUCGGGAGAGGAGGGGGAGGAGCUUAACAGCACGGCUGUGUCUUUGAUAGAGCUGCUGGGUGGGCGUGUCCUGUAGGAUUGUCCUGAUUGGACAGCAGAAGCUCAGGUUUUGUGUCCUCAGAUGUUCAGGGUUCCUGAAAACCUGUCGGGGUAUAAAGGUCGUUUCACAAACGAGCGUUUCUCUUCCUGCGAUUUUUUCAGACGUCAAUAUUUGUUUCGAACCCGUAUCCCGUCAAUACAAGCGUCACAUCAGCGACGUUUUCCCAGCAUUCUUUUCUCGCUUCCACCCGGGACGCGUCUUUAUCCCCCCAGAAAGUCGCAGAAUCACAUCAGGCUUGAUGUGUUCAGUCAGGCGCGUCAAAUAUUUCGUAGUUUCAUGUCGUAAAUUUCCGACGUUCCCGGAGUGCGAGGACCUUCAGCCUCCAUGAGUCUGAGGUUCGACCCUGUCAGGUAUCCUGGUCCGGAUCAUUCAGCAGGUCCUCUGAGGGGGUCUGGUGUGACUCUAGUAGGACUGGUUUUAGGGUCUUUGAAGGGUCCAUUCAGGACGUCUGAGUGAAGAGAAAUCCCUGAUAGACGGACGCAGUGGCGGCGGCGUUUCCUCCUCCCGGGCUGUUUUCACUCGCUGCCUUUUUAAGCGAGUUUGUUUGGCGGUUUGGUCUCUUAAAGUAAACGUCCGCGAGCGUUUCUAAAUAUUUGUCUGCAGUAAUAACAGGCUGAAGUGUGAAAGUCAUUAAAAAGCCAUUCUGACUUAAUCACACGAACACGUCCGACUCUUUAAUUUCCCGUCUGAAACAUAAUUAGCAGAAACCUUUGCUGCCCUCCUUUGUCUGAGCUCGCCUGGAGAUGAAAAGCGGCGCUCGCACACGGAGACGAGAGGAAAAAAGAGAAGGAGGAGAAAACGAGCAGCUGAUGGAGGUUAACAGGUUUCCAGCGAGCGUGUUGUCGUUUUCCUGUCCGUGUUUCAUCAUCGUGUUCAGCUUUAAUAUCCACCGUCACCGGGGAGCGGCGCCAAUAUGUACCAUCAUCGUCUGAGGCGAUGAAGAAAUGAAGAACACAAUAACAUCAAAGAAAACAAAACGACGGCGUCGCUGUAAAGGCGGGAAAAAUGACACUUUACAGGAAAAACAGCCGCCGUCAUUUCCAUACGAGACGUCGAACCUUCAAAUAAACCCCCGAGGUGUUCGGGGGUCCCCCCAGAGAGAGAGAGAG
RNAcentral lists this long non-coding RNA (2654 nucleotides) under Xyrichtys novacula (pearly razorfish). Lineage: Eukaryota; Metazoa; Chordata; Actinopteri; Labriformes; Labridae. The record is from RNAcentral.